RNAcentral lists this ribosomal RNA (311 nucleotides) under uncultured bacterium. Its description in RNAcentral is "bacterial SSU rRNA". It matches the Rfam family "Bacterial small subunit ribosomal RNA", at positions 28 to 361 of the family's 1533-position model. The record is from RNAcentral.
GAUGAACGCUGGCGGUAUGCCUAACACAUGCAAGUCGUACGAGAGUUUUUAACUCUAGUGGCGGACGGGUGAGUAACACGUGAGAAUUUGCCUUUAGGAGGGGAUAACAAUUGGAACGAAAUGCUAAUACCCCACUAUGCUUUUGAGUGAAAUAGGAUUUUAUUCCGCCUAGAGAGAAGCUCGCGGCUGAUUAGCUUGUUGGUAAGGUAAGAGCUUACCAAGGCGACGAUCAGUAUCUGGUUUGAGAGGACGAUCAGACACACUGGAACUGAGACACGGUCCAGACUCCUACGGGAGGCAGCAGUGGGGAA